Molecule: long non-coding RNA, 200 nt
Filed under: Phoenix dactylifera (date palm)
Lineage: Eukaryota; Viridiplantae; Streptophyta; Magnoliopsida; Arecales; Arecaceae
Description: long non-coding RNA (PDAC_LNC016222)
Source: RNAcentral
CUCUCUAUUUUACUUUGAAUGGCCCUUUUGUGCUUAUGGGAGAUUUCCCUUGUAAUCUCUUUGGAAUCUCUUUCCUAAAUGAUCUCUCCCACUUCCAUAGCUUCUCCCCUAGCUCUCCUCUUGUUUUUAUAGCUUUUGAUGGCGUGGAAACAAGAAUAUAGCCGUUAGAGAUAAAAAUAGAGCCGUUGGACACAGUCUGC